GAUAAAGGUUAUUCAAGACCCAGAAAGAGUCCCAAAGGUUACCCCUUUGGAAAAACCCACCACCACUGGAUCAAUAUUGUUCUACAGCAUUGUGUGGAAACCAGAGUAUUUCAGACAAUAAUGGAGCAUAGAAAGGAGGUGAGCAGCAACCUACAAAGCACCGGGGAUAAAGCUGGCCCUGCAGGCCCCAGGGCCAGCUGUGGUGGCUGUGGCACAGCUGCCUGGGCAGCCCUGUGCAGACAGCUCUGACCCCUGACUCCUGCUGGAGCCUUGGCAAACCCCUCUGCAGCAGCUGCUCUGCUGCUCACACAGACUUCCUUGGGCACUUUAUAUUUGCAUUAAAGCUUUUUGCCCUCUCAGCCUGCAGAGCUGCAAGAAAUUCUCAGUUAAGAUUCUAAAUUACAUUAAAAAUGUAAUUUAGGGGGGAAAACAAUCCAUCCUCUUAAGAAGUUUUUGUGUCCCUAGAGUGCAGAGGUUGCCAGGCUGGUUGUGCAGGAGAGAAGAGAAACACUGGUUCUCUGGUUUUGGGCAGGUGGUCUGUGAAAUUUCUCUAAGUGCCUUUUCCCCCUUCCAAAACAGGUCUUGUUUAAGGUUAGUAGCUUUUUGUAGAACAUUCCUACAAUGUACUGUGCCGGUCUUAAUGUGAGCUAUAGAAAUUUCAGUCUGUAUGGACUUGGGCUGCAAGCCUGCUUUGGUAGAAAUCCAUGACUGUUCUGUGUUUUGUUUCCUUCAGUACUCCAUUGGGAAGUUAGAGGGCAUCAUGUCUGAAGAGAUUUGGCCUCUCAGAAAUGCAGCCCAGCUUCUGAUCAGACUGAGAUGUGUGGGCAGGCCCCAGCCAGCAUUGUGCAAAAUAAGAGUUUGUUUACAGAUAAAGAAAUAACACAAAGGUGCAGUGGAAUGAAUAUAAAACUUCA
Molecule: long non-coding RNA, 914 nt
Organism: Junco hyemalis (dark-eyed junco)
Lineage: Eukaryota; Metazoa; Chordata; Aves; Passeriformes; Passerellidae
Source: Ensembl